RNAcentral lists this long non-coding RNA (566 nucleotides) under Rattus norvegicus (Norway rat). RNAcentral describes it as "long non-coding RNA NONRATT003400". The record is from RNAcentral. Lineage: Eukaryota; Metazoa; Chordata; Mammalia; Rodentia; Muridae.
UCUCUUUCUUAAUUGGCAAAUUUUUAUAUAGCACAACUUUGGGCUCCUUAAGCACUAAGUUCCCCAUCUCGAGCUUCCGGGAUGUGCUCUUCUGGUCCAGCCGCUUGCAGUGAUUCCUCAGUUUGAUCUUGGAAAGUAAAGGCUUCGCCGGCUUUCUCAGUUUCUUUGGUACCCUGGAAUUGUUCAUGUGCACUAGCUUAGGUGAGGUAGAGUUGGAAGCCGCUGGGACUCUUGGCAUGGACUGCCUCGUCAGUGCUCUGCUCUUGCUGUUCUUUUUCACACCAACUGAAGACUUUCGGUUAGAAGCUGUGAAGUUUACAAGAAAAAAAAAAGAUGAAACCAGCUUGGUAUUGCAACAGGACAUAAAUAAUCUAUCCCCAAAGCAGACCACCGGCCACAAACUGCUGACACACACAUAUGCAAGGCAGCCCUCCAGGGGCAGUCUCAACAGAACCCCAUAUUGUCUCUACUAUGGUUCAAGGGUCUUAGCAUGUAUCUCCCAUGUCAGUGCUCACUGGUCCAGACUAAGUAUUUUUCUUACAUAAAAGAUUUAAAGGGAAAGCAAA